This 29-nucleotide non-coding RNA is filed under the name Rattus norvegicus (Norway rat). The record is from RNAcentral. Lineage: Eukaryota; Metazoa; Chordata; Mammalia; Rodentia; Muridae.
UCUUCAAACUCUGGAAGGGAAAAGGCACU